AGUGAACGCUGGCGGCAGGCCUAACACAUGCAAGUCGAGCGGCAGCGCGGGGGCAACCCUGGCGGCGAGCGGCGAACGGGUGAGUAACAUAUCGGAACGUACCCAGUCGUGGGGGAUAACUAUCCGAAAGGAUAGCUAAUACCGCAUACGUCCUGAGGGAGAAAGCGGGGGAUCGCAAGACCUCGCGCGAUUGGAGCGGCCGAUAUCGGAUUAGCUAGUUGGUGGGGUAAAGGCUCACCAAGGCGACGAUCCGUAGCGGGUCUGAGAGGACGACCCGCCACACUGGAACUGAGACACGGUCCAGACUCCUACGGGAGGCAGCAGUGGGGAAUUUUGGACAAUGGGGGCAACCCUGAUCCAGCCAUUCCGCGUGAGUGAAGAAGGCC
RNAcentral lists this ribosomal RNA (386 nucleotides) under uncultured bacterium. RNAcentral describes it as "bacterial SSU rRNA". It matches the Rfam family "Bacterial small subunit ribosomal RNA", at positions 30 to 416 of the family's 1533-position model. The record is from RNAcentral.